Molecule: ribosomal RNA, 253 nt
Filed under: uncultured bacterium
Lineage: Bacteria
Description: partial 16S ribosomal RNA
Rfam family: Bacterial small subunit ribosomal RNA
Source: RNAcentral
UACGUAGGCAGCGAGCGUUGUUCGGAGUUACUGGGCGUAAAGAGUGCGUAGGCGGUUUUCUAAGUUUGGUGUGAAAUCUCCCGGCUUAACUGGGAGGGUGCGCCGAAGACUGGAAGGCUUGAGUAUGGGAGAGGUAAGCGGAAUUCCUGGUGUAGCGGUGAAAUGCGCAGAUAUCAGGAGGAACACCGAUGGCGAAGGCAGGUCUCUGGGCCACUACUGACGCUGAGAAGCGAAAGCAUGGGGAGCGAACAGG